RNAcentral lists this ribosomal RNA (519 nucleotides) under Cylindrocarpon didymum. RNAcentral's name for it is "LSU rRNA". It matches the Rfam family "Eukaryotic large subunit ribosomal RNA", at positions 80 to 624 of the family's 3401-position model. Lineage: Eukaryota; Fungi; Ascomycota; Sordariomycetes; Hypocreales; Nectriaceae. The record is from RNAcentral.
CUAGUAACGGCGAGUGAAGCGGCAACAGCUCAAAUUUGAAAUCUGGCCUUCGGGUCCGAAUUGUAAUUUGUAGAGGAUGCUUUUGGUGAGGUACCUUCCGAGUUCCCUGGAACGGGACGCCAUAGAGGGUGAGAGCCCCGUCUGGUCGGAUACCGAUCCUCUGUAAAGCUCCUUCGACGAGUCGAGUAGUUUGGGAAUGCUGCUCUAAAUGGGAGGUAUAUGUCUUCUAAAGCUAAAUAUUGGCCAGAGACCGAUAGCGCACAAGUAGAGUGAUCGAAAGAUGAAAAGCACUUUGAAAAGAGAGUUAAAAAGUACGUGAAAUUGUUGAAAGGGAAGCGCUCAUGACCAGACUUGGGCUUGGUUGAUCAUCCAGGGUUCUCCCUGGUGCACUCUUCCAGCCCAGGCCAGCAUCAGUUCGCUGUGGGGGAUAAAGGCUUUGGGAAUGUGGCUCCUCCGGGAGUGUUAUAGCCCAUUGUGUAAUACCCUGUGGUGGACUGAGGUUCGCGCAUCUGCAAGGAU